GUUCCGCCUCUGAGAGCAAAGUGGUUACUUAAUGGGAGGAGCAAAUUUUUCCUGCAAAAAACUGCUCUAGGCAAAGUGACUUCCAACAAGAGAGGGUAAAAUAACCUGAGCUAGAGUCCAGACAACCAAAUCUGUUAAAGGCAUCUAAAUACUUUAAACAAAUGUGCGGUGAUGAAGCUGGAAAUUAGUCCUCAUCAGAAAUGACCACCUGAGGGCCAAGCUGAUGUUUGGGGAGAUGGAGUAGCUUCUUCCAUCACAGAUAGUGGGACUCUGUGCUGAUGCCAGAUGUACACUGAACAGUACAAGUCAUUUGCAUCAUUUUCAUCAGACAACCUCAUCUAGCAAAAUGGUGAUAACACAAUCUUAUUCUGAAGCCAAAAGAGAGUUAUACAAUCAAUCGUUUUCAGAUAUGCUUUAAAACUGUUCAAAGGUAACAUCAUUAUUUUAAGUUAUAGCACAAUCAUUAAAGGAAAAAAGAACGCAAGAACAAAUGAAAUUCGUUAUUAUUUUAGUUACUUUUAGUGGAAAAAAUAAAACAAGAUUUGGAUUUUCAGCCAGGAUAAAGUAAAAAGACUCUUGUCAGAUGUCAAUUUUCUCAUUAAUGAACUAUUUGAGACUGUACUCCUGGGUCAACUUACUUCUGCUUCUCCUGUCUCUAGACCUGUCUUAAUUAUAUUUGUGUCUCAGGAUCCAUGACAUAGGUUUAAACAGACCCACGGGCAAAUCUAAACACUGGACUGGACAAUGAAUAGUGUCCAGUCUAUUCAUUUCUCUACAAAGUGACAGAAAUUCAGCCUUUAAUCAGAAGUUGAUUCUACCUAAAUUCCUAAUAUAACUAAUAAAAUGUAGUCACCUGGCCAGGCGCGGUGGCUCAUGCCUGUAAUCCCA
RNAcentral lists this long non-coding RNA (888 nucleotides) under Rhinopithecus bieti (black snub-nosed monkey). RNAcentral describes it as "lncRNA (ENSRBIG00000045468.1)". The record is from RNAcentral. Lineage: Eukaryota; Metazoa; Chordata; Mammalia; Primates; Cercopithecidae.